This is a non-coding RNA of Danionella cerebrum, 73 nucleotides long. The record is from the annotation of a GenBank genome assembly. NCBI's taxonomy places the organism in Eukaryota, Metazoa, Chordata, Actinopteri, Cypriniformes, Danionidae.
GUUCCUGUGGAUCAGUCAGUAAAACAUUGCUCUAGCAACGCAGAGAUUGUGGGAUCGAAUCCCAUGGGGAAGA